AAAGAAACAACAUUCUAAACCCUGAAGUUCCAUGGCCCCAGAAGAUGAAGAUUAGUAUAAGAAAUGAGUGGACCCAGAGAUGACCACUACAUGCCAAGUUUAACAGGAGGCAAAACAUGACAUAAAGCCUCAAUACAGGAAUUAAAGUUUAACAGAUACAACAGUGAUCUUUAAAGAAGAGACAAAAAUGAAAGCAAGCUCUAAGGGUAGAGCAACAAUCUCAUUAAGAUGAUCCUGGCACCUACAGUAAAGGCACAGUGAGAAGAUGGUAUGAGGAGGCCUGAUGGCUCAGAGAUAUUGCCCUUUAAGCAAAUGGUGAUAUUUGAAAUGUGCCGGCCACACGAAUGUCCGAUCACAGCCCUCAACUGUGCACUGGAGCCUCUUCUCUUCUUGAGGAAGAUGA
Long non-coding RNA from Sarcophilus harrisii (Tasmanian devil), 403 nucleotides. RefSeq lists it as uncharacterized. The transcript has 3 exons. NCBI's taxonomy places the organism in Eukaryota, Metazoa, Chordata, Mammalia, Dasyuromorphia, Dasyuridae. The record is from RefSeq and is a predicted model, not a curated record.